AUUGAACGCUGGCGGAAUGCUUUACACAUGCAAGUCGAACGGCAGCACGGGGGCAGCCCUGGUGGCGAGUGGCGAACGGGUGAGUAAUACAUCGGAACGUGCCCGGUCGUGGGGGAUAACGUAGCGAAAGUUACGCUAAUACCGCAUACGAUCUGAGGAUGAAAGCGGGGGACCUUCGGGCCUCGCGCGAUCGGAGCGGCCGAUGUCAGAUUAGGUAGUUGGUGGGGUAAAGGCCUACCAAGCCGACGAUCUGUAGCUGGUCUGAGAGGACGACCAGCCACACUGGGACUGAGACACGGCCCAGACUCCUACGGGAGGCAGCAGUGGGGAAUUUUGGACAAUGGGCGCAAGCCUGAUCCAGCCAUUCCGCGUGCAGGACGAAGGCCUUCGGGUUGUAAACUGCUUUUGUACGGAGCGAAAAGGCUCUGGCUAAUACCUGGGGCUCAUGACGGUACCGUAAGAAUAAGCACCGGCUAACUACGUG
This 484-nucleotide ribosomal RNA is filed under the name uncultured bacterium. Its description in RNAcentral is "partial 16S ribosomal RNA". It matches the Rfam family "Bacterial small subunit ribosomal RNA", at positions 30 to 507 of the family's 1533-position model. The record is from RNAcentral.